CGGAUAAAAGGUACCCCGGGGAUAACAGGCUGAUCUUCCCCAAGAGUCCAUAUCGACGGGAUGGUUUUGGCACCUCGAUGUCGGCUCGUCGCAUCCUGGGGCUGGAGUAGGUCCCAAGGGUUGGGCUGUUCGCCCAUUUAAAGCGGCACGCGAGCUGGGUUUUAGAACGUCGUGAGACAGUUCGGUCUCUAUCCGCGCGCGCGUUGAAACUUGAAGAAGGCUGUCCCUAGUACGAGAGGACCGGGACGGACGUACCUCUAGUGUGCCAGUUGUCACGCCAGUGGCAGGGCUGGU
Molecule: ribosomal RNA, 294 nt
Filed under: Corynebacterium diphtheriae
Lineage: Bacteria; Bacillati; Actinomycetota; Actinomycetes; Mycobacteriales; Corynebacteriaceae
Description: partial 23S ribosomal RNA
Rfam family: Bacterial large subunit ribosomal RNA
Source: RNAcentral